RNAcentral lists this long non-coding RNA (233 nucleotides) under Panax ginseng (ginseng). Its description in RNAcentral is "long non-coding RNA (PGIN_LNC006638)". The record is from RNAcentral. Lineage: Eukaryota; Viridiplantae; Streptophyta; Magnoliopsida; Apiales; Araliaceae.
AAGAAGGGUAAGAUACGUUAGGUACCAUACAUAUCAUAUUAUGACCUAAUGUGGUAUGUUAUGUGGUUAUGUAUUGUAGAGACUCUAAAGACUUAACGGGAAAGUAUAGUAACCAUAGCAGACGCUAAAGGCAAGUGUUCUAACCCUUGUCUAAGUUCAAUCUAGACAAGUUUUGUGAUUCAUGUAUUCUUACGCAUGAAUUGAUGUAUGAUGAAGUCAAAGCCAAUUCUUUC